UAGGGAAUCUUCCGCAAUGGGCGAAAGCCUGACGGAGCAACGCCGCGUGAGUGAUGAAGGUCUUCGGAUCGUAAAACUCUGUUAUUAGGGAAGAACAAAUGUGUAAGUAACUAUGCACGUCUUGACGGUACCUAAUCAGAAAGCCACGGCUAACUACGUGCCAGCAGCCGCGGUAAUACGUAGGUGGCAAGCGUUAGCCGGAAUUAUUGGGCGUAAAGCGCGCGUAGGCGGUUUUUUAAGUCUGAUGUGAAAGCCCACGGCUCAACCGUGGAGGGUCAUUGGAAACUGGAAAACUUGAGUGCAGAAGAGGAAAGUGGAAUUCCAUGUGUAGCGGUGAAAUGCGCAGAGAUAUGGAGGAACACCAGUGGCGAAGGCGACUUUCUGGUCUGUAACUGACGCUGAUGUGCGAAAGCGUGGGGAUCAAACAGG
This 429-nucleotide ribosomal RNA is filed under the name Actinomycetes bacterium. RNAcentral's name for it is "Actinobacteria bacterium partial 16S ribosomal RNA". It matches the Rfam family "Bacterial small subunit ribosomal RNA", at positions 355 to 776 of the family's 1533-position model. Lineage: Bacteria; Bacillati; Actinomycetota; Actinomycetes. The record is from RNAcentral.